Molecule: ribosomal RNA, 433 nt
Filed under: uncultured bacterium
Lineage: Bacteria
Description: partial 16S ribosomal RNA
Rfam family: Bacterial small subunit ribosomal RNA
Source: RNAcentral
AACGAACGCUGGCGGCAUGCCUAACACAUGCAAGUCGAACGAUGCUUUCGGGCAUAGUGGCGCACGGGUGCGUAACGCGUGGGAAUCUGCCCUUGGGUUCGGAAUAACAGUGAGAAAUUGCUGCUAAUACCGGAUGAUGUCUUCGGACCAAAGAUUUAUCGCCCAGGGAUGAGCCCGCGUAGGAUUAGCUAGUUGGUGGGGUAAUGGCCUACCAAGGCGACGAUCCUUAGCUGGUCUGAGAGGAUGAUCAGCCACACUGGGACUGAGACACGGCCCAGACUCCUACGGGAGGGAGCAGUGGGGAAUAUUGGACAAUGGGCGCAAGCCUGAUCCAGCAAUGCCGCGUGAGUGAUGAAGGCCUUAGGGUUGUAAAGCUCUUUUACCCGGGAUGAUAAUGACAGUACCGGGAGAAUAAGCUCCGGCUAACUCCGUG